This 246-nucleotide ribosomal RNA is filed under the name uncultured bacterium. Its description in RNAcentral is "partial 16S ribosomal RNA". It matches the Rfam family "Bacterial small subunit ribosomal RNA", at positions 524 to 765 of the family's 1533-position model. The record is from RNAcentral.
GACGAGGGACCCUAGCGUUGUUCGGAAUCAUUGGGCGUAAAAGCGGGUGUAGGAGGCUUUAUAAGUCAGAUGUGAAAGCCCUGGGCUUAACCCAGGAAGUGCAUUUGAUACUGCAAAGCUUGAGUGUUGGAGAGGUUACUGGAAUACCUGGUGUAGUGGUGAAAUACGUAGAUAUCAGGUGGAACACCGGUGGCGAAAGGCGGGUAACUGGCCAAAACACUGACUCUCAAAACCCGAAAGCGUGGG